Molecule: ribosomal RNA, 480 nt
Filed under: uncultured bacterium
Lineage: Bacteria
Description: partial 16S ribosomal RNA
Rfam family: Bacterial small subunit ribosomal RNA
Source: RNAcentral
GACGAACGCUGGCGGCGCGCUUAACACAUGCAAGUCGAGCGAUGAAACUUUAACAGAACCCUUCGGGGCGAAGAUAAAGUGGAUUAGCGGCGGACGGGUGAGUAACACGUGAGUAACCUGCCUUAGACGUUGGGAUAGCCUCGCGAAACCGGGAUUAAUACCAAAUAAAAUCAUAAUGACACAUGUCAUAACGAUCAAAACUCCGGUGGUCUAAGAUGGACUCGCGUCCCAUUAGCUAGUUGGUAGAGUAAAAGCCUACCAAGGCGACGAUGGGUAGCCGGCCUGAGAGGGUGAACGGCCACAUUGGAACUGAGAAACGGUCCAAACUCCUACGGGAGGCAGCAGUGGGGAAUAUUGCACAAUGGAGGGAACUCUGAUGCAGCGACGCCGCGUGAACGAAGAAGGCUUUCGAGUCGUAAAGUUCUUUUAUAUGGGAAGAUAAUGACGGUACCAUAAGAAAAAGCCCCGGCUAACUACGUG